Molecule: long non-coding RNA, 227 nt
Filed under: Citrus maxima (pomelo)
Lineage: Eukaryota; Viridiplantae; Streptophyta; Magnoliopsida; Sapindales; Rutaceae
Description: long non-coding RNA (CMAX_LNC000729)
Source: RNAcentral
GAAAAACCUAUUUUGAUAUGUACGAAUAUGGAUUUAUAUGUCUCUGCUCAUGUGUUGAUGUGAUGUGUUGUUAUGUAAGGGGCGUGAUUAUGUACAUGGGCAUAUGUAUGUGUGAUGGUUCAUUGGCAUGAGCACGAAAAUGCAUUGAGUUUUCUAUGAAUGAGAAAGUGGAUUUUAGCAAACGGAAUUUCUGUUUUAUGAGAUUUUGCAUUGGGGGCCACCUCUUG